GAACGGGUGAGUAACGCCGUGGGAUAAACCUGCCUGAAUGACUGGGACAACACCGGGAAACUGGUGCUAAUACCGGAUACGCUCAUCAUUGCGCAGGCAAAGGUGAGGAAAGGAGAAAUCCGCAUACAGAUGGGUCCGCGCCCCAUUAGCUAGUUGGCGGUGUAAGAGACCACCAAGGCGACGAUGGGUAGCCGGCCUGAGAGGGUGGACGGCCACACUGGAACUGAGACACGGUCCAGACUCCUACGGGAGGCAGCAGUGGGGAAUCUUCCGCAAUGGGCGAAAGCCUGACGGAGCAACGCCGCGUGAGUGAGGAAGGCCUUCGGGUCGUAAAACUCUGUCUUCAGGGAAGAAAAAAAUGACGGUACCUGAGGAGGAAGCCCCGGCUAACUACGUGCCAGCAGCCGCGGUAAAACGUAGGGGGCGAGCGUUGUCCGGAAUUACUGGGCGUAAAGGGCGCGUAGGCGGUUAUUUAAGUCAGAGGUGAAAACUACCGGCUCAACCGGUAGCCUGCCUUUGAAACUGGAUGACUUGAGGGCAGGAGAGGGGAGUGGAAUUCCCAGUGUAGCGGUGAAAUGCGUAGAUAUUGGGAGGAACACCAGUGGCGAAGGCGGCUCUCUGGCCUGUUUCUGACGCUGAGGCGCGAAAGCGUGGGGAGCAAACGGGAUUAGAUACCCCGGUAGUCCACGCCGUAAACGAUGGGUGCUAGGUGUAGGAGGUAUCGACCCCUUCUGUGCCGUAGUUAACACAAUAAGCACCCCGCCUGGGGAGUACGGCCGCAAGGUUGAAACUCAAAGGAAUUGACGG
Molecule: ribosomal RNA, 807 nt
Filed under: uncultured bacterium
Lineage: Bacteria
Description: bacterial SSU rRNA
Rfam family: Bacterial small subunit ribosomal RNA
Source: RNAcentral